This 450-nucleotide ribosomal RNA is filed under the name uncultured bacterium. RNAcentral's name for it is "partial 16S ribosomal RNA". It matches the Rfam family "Bacterial small subunit ribosomal RNA", at positions 354 to 796 of the family's 1533-position model. The record is from RNAcentral.
GUGGGGAAUAUUGGACAAUGGGCGAAAGCCUGAUCCAGCCAUGCCGCGUGUGUGAAGAAGGUCUUCGGAUUGUAAAGCACUUUAAGUUGGGAGGAAGGGCAGUAAGUUAAUACCUUGCUGUUUUGACGUUACCGACAGAAUAAGCACCGGCUAACUUCGUGCCAGCAGCCGCGGUAAUACGAAGGGUGCAAGCGUUAAUCGGAAUUACUGGGCGUAAAGCGCGCGUAGGUGGUUUUGUAAGUUGGAGGUGAAAUCCCCGGGCUCAACCUGGGAACUGCCUACAAAACUGCAUGACUAGAGUACGGUAGAGGGAAGUGGAAUUUCCUGUGUAGCGGUGAAAUGCGUAGAUAUAGGAAGGAACACCAGUGGCGAAGGCGACUACCUGGACUGAUACUGACACUGAGGUGCGAAAGCGUGGGGAGCAAACAGGAUUAGAUACCCCGGUAGUCC